GACGAACGCUGGCGGCGUGCUUAACACAUGCAAGUCGAACGGAAAGGCCCUGCUUUUGUGGGGUGCUCGAGUGGCGAACGGGUGAGUAACACGUGAGUAACCUGCCCUUGACUUUGGGAUAACUUCAGGAAACUGGGGCUAAUACCGGAUAGGAGCUCCUGCUGCAUGGUGGGGGUUGGAAAGUUUCGGCGGUUGGGGAUGGACUAGCGGCUUAUCAGCUUGUUGGUGGGGUAGUGGCUUACCAAGGCUUUGACGGGUAGCCGGCCUGAGAGGGUGACCGGCCACAAUGGGACUGAGAGACGGCCCAGACGCCUACGUGAGGCAGCAGUGGAGAAUAUUGCACAAUGAGCGGGAGCGUGAGACAGCAGCGCCGCGUGCGGGAUGCCGGCCUUCGGGUUAUGAACCGCUUUCGCCUGAGACGAAGCGUGAGUGACGGUAAUGGGUAAAGAAGCACCGGCUAACUACGUG
RNAcentral lists this ribosomal RNA (468 nucleotides) under uncultured bacterium. Its description in RNAcentral is "partial 16S ribosomal RNA". It matches the Rfam family "Bacterial small subunit ribosomal RNA", at positions 28 to 507 of the family's 1533-position model. The record is from RNAcentral.